UACGGAGGAUGCGAGCGUUAUCCGGAUUUAUUGGGUUUAAAGGGUGCGUAGGCGGACUGUCAAGUCAGCGGUAAAAUUGAGAGGCUCAACCUCUUCCCGCCGUUGAAACUGGUGGUCUUGAGUGGAUGAGAAGUACGCGGAAUGCGUGGUGUAGCGGUGAAAUGCAUAGAUAUCACGCAGAACUCCGAUUGCGAAGGCAGCGUACCGGCAUCCAACUGACGCUGAGGCACGAAAGCGUGGGGAUCAAAUAGG
RNAcentral lists this ribosomal RNA (252 nucleotides) under uncultured bacterium. Its description in RNAcentral is "partial 16S ribosomal RNA". It matches the Rfam family "Bacterial small subunit ribosomal RNA", at positions 524 to 776 of the family's 1533-position model. The record is from RNAcentral.